Molecule: ribosomal RNA, 235 nt
Filed under: uncultured bacterium
Lineage: Bacteria
Description: partial 16S ribosomal RNA
Rfam family: Bacterial small subunit ribosomal RNA
Source: RNAcentral
CGGGACGGGUGAGUAACGCGUGGAUAACCUGCCUCACACUGGGGGAUAACAGUUAGAAAUGACUGCUAAUACCGCAUAAGCGCACAGUACCGCAUGGUACAGUGUGAAAAACUCCGGUGGUGUGAGAUGGAUCCGCGUCUGAUUAGCCAGUUGGCGGGUAACGGCCCACCAAAGCGACGAUCAGUAGCCGACCCGAGAGGGUGACCGGCCACAUUGGGACUGAGACACGGCCCAA